RNAcentral lists this ribosomal RNA (839 nucleotides) under uncultured Planctomycetota bacterium. Its description in RNAcentral is "bacterial SSU rRNA". It matches the Rfam family "Bacterial small subunit ribosomal RNA", at positions 53 to 901 of the family's 1533-position model. The record is from RNAcentral. Lineage: Bacteria; Pseudomonadati; Planctomycetota.
GCUGCAAGUCGAACGAAUCUCGCCCCGGUAGCAAUACCGGGGCGGGGGAAGUGGCGAAAGGGGCAGUAAGGCGUGGGUAACCUACCCCGGGGAUGGGCAUAGCCGUCCUAACGGACGGGUAAUUCCCAGCGAGCCGCCGGAGGGGCAUCCCCCCGGCGGGAAACGAGUUUCGCCUCGGGAGGGACUCACGUGCUAUUAGCUGGUUGGCGGGGUAACGGCCCACCAAGGCAAAGAUGGCUAGCGGGUGUGAGAGCACGACCCGCGCCACUGGCACUGAGACACUGGCCAGACACCUACGGGUGGCUGCAGUCGAGGAUCUUCGUCAAUGGGCGCAAGCCUGAACGAGCGACGCCGCGUGGGCGAUGAAGGCCUUCGGGUUGUAAAGCCCUGUCGAGGGGGACCAAGCCGGGGAAACCCGGUUGAUCGAUCCCUGGAGGAAGCACGGGCUAAGUUCGUGCCAGCAGCCGCGGUAAGACGAACCGUGCGAACGUUGUUCGGAAUCACUGGGCUUAAAGGGCGCGUAGGCGGCUCGCGAGGUCGGGGGUGAAAGACCGCGGCUCAACCGCGGCAGGGCCUCCGAUACCGGCGGGCUGGAGAGGGUAGGGGUGCGCGGAACUUCUGGUGGAGCGGUGAAAUGCGUUGAUAUCAAAGAACGCCGGCGGCGAAAGCGGCGCACUGGACCCUUGCUGACGCUGAGCGCGAAAGCCAGGGGAGCAAACGGGAUUAAUACCCCGGUAGUCCUGGCCCUAAACGAUGGGUACUAGGCCGUGGGCCGGUCUGGGCUCACAGCCAACCAAAGUGUAAUACCCCGCCGGGGAGUAUGGUCGCAGGCUGAAAUC